Molecule: ribosomal RNA, 113 nt
Filed under: Klebsiella pneumoniae
Lineage: Bacteria; Pseudomonadati; Pseudomonadota; Gammaproteobacteria; Enterobacterales; Enterobacteriaceae
Source: RNAcentral
UGGCGGCACUAGCGCGGUGGUCCCACCUGACCCCAUGCCGAACUCAGAAGUGAAACGCCGUAGCGCCGAUGGUAGUGUGGGUCUCCCAUGUGAGAGUAGGGAACUGCCAGGCA